Molecule: ribosomal RNA, 254 nt
Filed under: uncultured bacterium
Lineage: Bacteria
Description: partial 16S ribosomal RNA
Rfam family: Bacterial small subunit ribosomal RNA
Source: RNAcentral
UACGUAGGGGGCAAGCGUUGUCCGGAUUUAUUGGGCGUAAAGAGCUCGUAGGUGGUUCGGUAAGUCGGAUGUGAAAUCUCCAGGCUCAACCUGGAGGGGUCAUUCGAUACUGCCGUGACUAGAGUUCGGUAGGGGAGUGUGGAAUUCCUGGUGGAGCGGUGAAAUGCGCAGAUAUCAGGAGGAACACCCGUAGCGAAGGCGGCACUCUGGACGGUGACUGACGCUGAGGCGCGAAAGCGUGGGGAGCAAACGGG